Molecule: non-coding RNA, 652 nt
Organism: Lolium perenne
Lineage: Eukaryota; Viridiplantae; Streptophyta; Magnoliopsida; Poales; Poaceae
Source: RefSeq, a predicted model, not a curated record
CUGCAGAUUCUUCCAACAAGUGGGGAGACAGAGACAACCAAUUUAAAAAGUGCAUACAACUUAGAGGUGUGAUUAUGUACCUCCACUCUCCCUGGUGAUCCCAACACAGAUUUUCAAAUGAUGGGAAGACAACUUAGAGGUGUGGUUACGUACCUUCACUCUCCUGAUGAUUCCGGGAGAUCUCUCGCAUAACAAUGGUUGAGGGUACCCAUUAUAUGCACGCACUAGAAAUCGCCCAGCCAUGUUUCAGGCAAGUACCGAUAUGGUUGAUCAGGAAAUGAUGAAGUUUCCUUUGUUCUGUGAUGGUGCGAGUUCAGGCCAUGAUGGAAUUUCCUUUGUUUCUGUAAUGAUGCGGUUUCCUUUGCUAUUGCCCUCAAAUUAUGUGUAGUUUUCUUCAAAUGAUGGUGCGGUAGAGAUGCAGAAAUAAUGGUGCGUUAAUGGAGUUUCCUUUUCCUGUUGUCUUGGAAUGAUGCAGAAGUAAUGGAGUUUACUUUCCUGUUGUCCUGUAUUGAUUUUAUAGGGCCCUCAAAUUGUGUGUAGUUUCCUUCAAAUGAUGGUGCGGUAGAGAUGCAGAAAUAAUGGUGCGUUAAUGGAGUUUCCGUUUCCUGUUGUCUUGGAAUGAUGCGGAAGUAAUGGAGUUUCCUUUUGCUGU